UGGGGGAAUAUUGCACAAUGGGCGAAAGCCUGAUGCAGCAACGCCGCGUGAGUGAUGAAGGUCUUCGGAUUGUAAAGCUCUGUCUUUUGGGACGAUAAUGACGGUACCAAAGGAGGAAGCCACGGCUAACUACGUGCCAGCAGCCGCGGUAAUACGUAGGUGGCGAGCGUUGUCCGGAUUUACUGGGCGUAAAGGGUGCGUAGGCGGAUGUUUAAGUGAGAUGUGAAAUACCCGGGCUUAACUUGGGUGCUGCAUUUCAAACUGGAUAUCUAGAGUGCAGGAGAGGAGAAUGGAAUUCCUAGUGUAGCGGUGAAAUGCGUAGAGAUUAGGAAGAACACCAGUGGCGAAGGCGAUUCUCUGGACUGUAACUGACGCUGAGGCACGAAAGCGUGGGUAGCAAACAGGAUUAGAUACCCUGGUAGUCCACGCCGUAAACGAUGAGUACUAGGUGUAGGAGGUAUCGACCCCUUCUGUGCCGCAGUAAACACAUUAAGUACUCCGCCUGGGAAGUACGAUCGCAAGAUUAAAACUCUAAAGUGAAUUGAC
RNAcentral lists this ribosomal RNA (546 nucleotides) under uncultured bacterium. Its description in RNAcentral is "partial 16S ribosomal RNA". It matches the Rfam family "Bacterial small subunit ribosomal RNA", at positions 354 to 914 of the family's 1533-position model. The record is from RNAcentral.